RNAcentral lists this transfer RNA (795 nucleotides) under uncultured cyanobacterium. Its description in RNAcentral is "partial miscellaneous RNA". The stretch from base 268 to 340 matches the Rfam family "tRNA". The record is from RNAcentral. Lineage: Bacteria; Bacillati; Cyanobacteriota.
CAGGGAGACAAAAACUGAUCAUGAUGCUUGAGUGCUUUAAUCUCAAGCCUUGAUCCUGUCACCUUAGGUCGAUCGGUACCUCAGAUUGAGAACCAAAUUGAUUGCUAUUUGAUAUAGCUCUCAUGUUUGUAAUAGAUUUCAGUUCCUAAACUUGUCUAGGUCACACCCCGCAAGGGUUAAUCCUGGGCCAUUAGCUCAGGUGGUUAGAGCGCACCCCUGAUAAGGGUGAGGUCCCUGGUUCAAGUCCAGGAUGGCCCAUUCGGUGUUGGGGGUUUAGCUCAGUUGGUAGAGCGCCUGCUUUGCAAGCAGGAUGUCAGCGGUUCGAGUCCGCUAACCUCCACUGACCAACCUCCUCCAACGAUUAACUGUUGAGGCCCUUUGCUCUGAUGUGAUUUAGACUUUAAGCUCCGGCUGAAUGAACCUAGCCUCCUAUCAUUCCUUAUUAAAUAAUAAUUAGGCUGAAAGGAUGCUGGGCUCUCUGCAAUUAAUAAUAAUUGCGGAUGUGUUCGGCAGAACCUUGACAACUGCGUAGGUGAGUCUGAAAAGAAUAAAGCAUCUCAUGGAUGCAUUUUUCUACUUGUUGAACUAAAUAUUUAACUGUAGAAAAAUGUUUAAUUCUUGAGCAAAAGCUGAGACUCUAUAACGUUCUUUUGAGGUUAUAUCUAACCUCGAGAGUUUGAUUUUCUAUUUAAACCAUCAUCUGGAUUUAUUUAUUGGUUCUUACUAAUAAUGAUUCAAUGAAAGUUGAAUAGUUUAGAAAACGACUCAACACCGUUAAACGCUAUAGAGAUAAUU